RNAcentral lists this ribosomal RNA (792 nucleotides) under uncultured bacterium. RNAcentral describes it as "bacterial SSU rRNA". It matches the Rfam family "Bacterial small subunit ribosomal RNA", at positions 8 to 796 of the family's 1533-position model. The record is from RNAcentral.
AGAGUUUGAUCAUGGCUCAGAUUGAACGCUGGCGGUAUGCUUAACACAUGCAAGUCGAACGGUAGCAGCUCUUCGGAGGCUGACGAGUGGCGGACGGGUGAGUAACGCGUAGGAAUCUGCCUAUUAGUGGGGGACAACUUAGGGAAACUUAAGCUAAUACCGCAUACGCCCUACGGGGGAAAGGAGGGGAUCUUCGGACCUUUCGCUAAUAGAUGAGCCUGCGUUAGAUUAGCUAGUUGGUGGGGUAACGGCCUACCAAGGCUUCGACGGGUAGCUGGUCUGAGAGGAUGAUCAGCCACACUGGCACUGAAACACGGGCCAGACUCCUACGGGAGGCAGCAGUGAGGAAUUUUGCGCAAUGGCCGCAAGGCUGACGCAGCAACGCCGCGUGGGUGAAGAAGGCCUUCGGGUCGUAAAGCCCUGUCAGGUGGGAAGAAUAUCCCUGUGGUGAAUAAUUGCGGGGACUGACGGUACCACCAGAGGAAGCACCGGCUAACUCCGUGCCAGCAGCCGCGGUAAUACGGAGGGUGCAAGCGUUAUUCGGAAUUACUGGGCGUAAAGCGCGUGCAGGCGGGCGAGCAAGUCUGAUGUGAAAGCCCCGGGCUUAACCUGGGAAGUGCAUUGGAAACGGUUCGUCUUGAGUUCUGGAGAGGAUGGGGGAAUUCCCGGUGUAGAGGUGAAAUUCGUAGAGAUCGGGAGGAAUACCAGUGGCGAAGGCGCCCAUCUGGACAGUAACUGACGCUGAGACGCGAAAGCGUGGGGAGCAAACAGGAUUAGAUACCCUGGUAGUCC